This 253-nucleotide ribosomal RNA is filed under the name uncultured bacterium. RNAcentral's name for it is "partial 16S ribosomal RNA". It matches the Rfam family "Bacterial small subunit ribosomal RNA", at positions 524 to 776 of the family's 1533-position model. The record is from RNAcentral.
GACAGAGGUGCCGAGCGUUAGGCGGAAUCACUGGGCUUAAAGCGUGUGUAGGCGGACCGUUAAGUGCCUUGUGAAAUCCCCCGGCUCAACCGGGGAACGGCUGGGCAUACUGGCGGUCUUGAGCCACCUAGGGGCGAGCGGAACAAGCGGUGGAGCGGUGAAAUGCGUAGAUAUCGCUUGGAACGCCAAUGGUGAAAACAGCUCGCUGGGGGUUUGCUGACGCUGAGACACGAAAGCCAGGGGAGCAAACGGG